This 492-nucleotide ribosomal RNA is filed under the name uncultured bacterium. Its description in RNAcentral is "partial 16S ribosomal RNA". It matches the Rfam family "Bacterial small subunit ribosomal RNA", at positions 29 to 507 of the family's 1533-position model. The record is from RNAcentral.
AGUGAACGCUGGCGGUAGGCCUAACACAUGCAAGUCGAACGGCAGCACAGUAAGAGCUUGCUCUUACGGGUGGCGAGUGGCGGACGGGUGAGGAAUACAUCGGAAUCUACUUUUUCGUGGGGGAUAACGUAGGGAAACUUACGCUAACACCGCAUACGACCUACGGGUGAAAGCAGGGGAUCUUCGGACCUUGCGCGAUUGAAUGAGCCGAUGUCGGAUUAGCUAGUUGGCGGGGUAAAGGCCCACCAAGGCGACGAUCCGUAGCUGGUCUGAGAGGAUGAUCAGCCACACUGGAACUGAGACACGGCCCAGACUCCUACGGGAGGCAGCAGUGGGGAAUAUUGGACAAUGGGCGCAAGCCUGAUCCAGCCAUACCGCGUGGGUGAAGAAGGCCUUCGGGUUGUAAAGCCCUUUUGUUGGGAAAGAAAAGCAGCAGGUUAAUACCCCGCUGUUCUGACGGUACCCAAAGAAUAAGCACCGGCUAACUUCGUG